This 1273-nucleotide long non-coding RNA is filed under the name Phasianus colchicus (ring-necked pheasant). Its description in RNAcentral is "lncRNA (ENSPCLG00000002632.1)". The record is from RNAcentral. Lineage: Eukaryota; Metazoa; Chordata; Aves; Galliformes; Phasianidae.
CCUGGAGUUUGGUGUAUAGUUUUCAUUUCAGGACACGGGGAGUCUUUGCAUUCUGCACCUCCCAGCAAAGCACUGUGGAGUGUUACAGGUGGAAGACUCUCCACUAUUCACCCUUACAUCAGCCCUUCAUCAGACCCAGGCUGGGCCUUGCCCAGAAGUCCUGGGAACCAGCAUCACCUGUGGUGCCUUGCCUGGCUCACCAUUGCCAAGUACUACAGAUCCACCCCACAGGAGAAAGGCAAGGAAGUCUGAAUGAAGGACACUAAGGUUUUAAUUAACCCACUUUCGUUUUCCAAGCUGUAUUUUGCACAGGGUGGAGUGCAAGCAACAGCUCUGGAAAGUGAAGGAAGCCCGCCGCCUACUCUCCCAGGACCUCUCUCUGAGCUGGACAUUGAGGCUGGACAUCUGCGUAGAGAUGCUCAGUCUACUUCUGUUAAAUAAUCUUCAGGGAAAGCUUCAAUCAAGUGACAUUCUUCUGAGUGCAUUAUAGAAAACAGAAGAAACUGACUCCUCUUUAAAUAUAUCCCAAAUAGAAGAAGGUGGCGUUUGUGUAAUGCCAUAUUCUGGUUCUCUCUAUUAAACCAUCUCUGGGGAUCUACUGGUAAGGUUUGAAAAUUCUAAGUAGUUUCAAAAUCCAUGUCAAUCAACCUGCUGUCAAACAAAAUUGUUUACCAAGCGUUACCAAGACUUUCUUCUCUGUCUUGACAGUCUAAAGCAUGGGAUCAUACUGUCUGUUUCUGCAUUCAUUUUUUUCCACCUUACAGAUUAGCAGCUUGCCUAAGCUAAGUGGACAUAGGCAUAGUGACAUCUUCUUGAGCAUUGUCAGUUUUGUCACAAGAGGCAAUAAGCAUCUCUUUCUCAAGUUCUCACCAGACAAUACUUUUCUGUAGGGCUGGCAAUAGCAAUUUUUAGCAUGUUUAGAUUUCCCAAGUUAAAAUCUAGUUAAUUACUGAUCCCAUUUGCACAACACCUGUUACAUAUCAGCAAUCCAGUAUUUUCAACAUCAGGCCUAUAAGUUCUGUUGUAACUUCUAUGGUACUACUUGUCCGUAAAAACCUACAAAAAUCUGUUUUCUAUUCAUAGCACUGCAACCAACUCUCUGGGAAUGAGUUUAAGCAAACCAUUUUAAAUAAUGCUCUCAGUAACACUUCCCUGCCUAUAAAAGAGUGACUGUGAUGAAGAUCUCUUGCCAAAGCAAAGGAAGAAGUGCAAAGAGCAGUGAGGUAUUUUUACAGUGAUAAAGAAAACAUGAAGAAAGAUAUCUAGGUUCCCA